GGGCGCAAGCCUGAUGCAGCCACGCCGCGUGAGGGAUGGAGGCCUUCGGGUUGUAAACCUCUUUUGUUAGGGAGCAAGGCACUUUGUGUUGAGUGUACCUUUCGAAUAAGCACCGGCUAACUACGUGCCAGCAGCCGCGGUAAUACGUAGGGUGCAAGCGUUAUCCGGAAUUAUUGGGCGUAAAGGGCUCGUAGGCGGUUCGUCGCGUCCGGUGUGAAAGUCCAUCGCUUAACGGUGGAUCCGCGCCGGGUACGGGCGGGCUUGAGUGCGGUAGGGGAGACUGGAAUUCCCGGUGUAACGGUGGAAUGUGUAGAUAUCGGGAAGAACACC
This 330-nucleotide ribosomal RNA is filed under the name uncultured bacterium. RNAcentral's name for it is "bacterial SSU rRNA". It matches the Rfam family "Bacterial small subunit ribosomal RNA", at positions 373 to 710 of the family's 1533-position model. The record is from RNAcentral.